CUGCAUACGAGUAGACCCUUUC
RNAcentral lists this microRNA (22 nucleotides) under Gallus gallus (chicken). RNAcentral describes it as "gga-miR-3536". The record is from miRBase by way of RNAcentral. Lineage: Eukaryota; Metazoa; Chordata; Aves; Galliformes; Phasianidae.